RNAcentral lists this long non-coding RNA (241 nucleotides) under Callithrix jacchus (white-tufted-ear marmoset). RNAcentral describes it as "lncRNA (ENSCJAG00000069705.1)". Lineage: Eukaryota; Metazoa; Chordata; Mammalia; Primates; Cebidae. The record is from RNAcentral.
UUUUUAUAUUGUUAAUAGAGACAGGGUUUCACCAUAUUGGCCAGGCUGGUCUCGAAUCCCAGCUACUCAGGAGGCUGAGGCAGGAGAAUAGUUUGAACCUGGGAGGCAGAGGUUGCGGUGAGCUGAGAUCAUGCCAUUGCACUUCAGCCUUGACAACAGGGGCAAAACUCCAUCUCAAGAAAAAUAAAUAAAUUUUAAAAAUAAAUAAACUGGCUUUGUAUCCCGCAUACACGGUCUCCAU